CUGAUGAUUUUGCCAGUGGUUGUUCAAGCGCAUGGCAUUCAGCUCAUUCUGAUUCUCCUCUUGCCUCUGCAGCAGCUUCUUAAAGACUUCCAUCUGAACCUUCUGCAACCUGCAAGGAAAGAAAAGAGUUCGGAACAUGAGGCCGAAGACCUGGCUGUCUCUUGCACCUGACAGGACACGUAGCUUUGUCCUAAAAAGAGAUGCAAGAUGGAAGAUUGAUCACAUUCAUUUAAAAAACCUCCAUGCAAACAAAGCAGAAGCAAGUCAGUCCAAGGCGAGAGUGUUAAAUGUGUUUUGGUUUAUCUUAACAUUACUCCCAUUGAUGUUAACUCCAUUAUCUUUGGUAAAAGCAGAUGGAGGCUACACUGAGUCUGAAAUACAUUCCUUAAGUAAAUAAUCCACAAAUCUUCUAGUUUCAACUCUCAUGAUUAUUACAUACAAACCUUCCCUACCUAUCCAUUCUAAAGCAUUGCAUUUAAUGGACAUAAAAUUGUUAAAGUACCAUGAAGUAGGACUGCUUCAAUUUUAUUUACAUGUUUCUCUUUCCAGCAAUUCCAGAAUAAAAAAUUAAUUCUGAUAUAACCACAUGCAAUUUCAUUGACUCCACUAGGAAGUGAAUUUUAUUAUGUGACUUCAAAAUUUGAUACUCUCUGAAAACUACAUUAGAAUGCAUUACUUAAACUCUACAUCUCUGAGUAGCAUUGCAUCACAGUGAUUGUAAUAAAAUACCAGAAGAUUUUCCAACAAUAUUGCUCUACUAGAGAAUCUUCUUUGCAAUGGUAUAUCUUCUAGAAUUCAGAGACAUCUAGCUUUCUGUUUCAAGCUUCACAGUCUUAACACACCAGAAGCACAUCCCUUAGUCACAAAGCACUACUUACAUACUGCAAGCAAAUUCUGAAACAGUCCAUCAUCUAUUUCCUCUAGAAUUCUCAAUUAUGAGAGCAGCACCUUACCUCUUAACAAGCUUUUCCUGUUGGUUCAUUAUGAAAAAUAGUGGUCACCAAGCUGGUGACCAAAUAGUUGCCUGAUCUUUUCUGGUGAGAUGUUACCCAUUUCAACAGUAAUUUUCUAAAAGUCACUACUUACUCUGUCUUUUUAUCAGCAACAGCUUCUGGAACACUUGCUGGAGGCAGCUUAGAAGAGCUGAGAGGUGUAAAGACAGAAUGAAAGUCAGACAACAAGGGUAAGCCUAAAAGAUCAUUAUGGUUCAGAAAAACUGCAGUCCACUAAAUUCAGUGGAGUUAAUACUGAUUAUCUACAACUGUGGUUCUGUUAGUUCCAUGUUUAGGAAUUAUGCCUAAAUAUGAAAUAACUCUUUCAUAGCUAAGGAGGAACAGAGGAAGUUUCACCAGUAAACACCAGGACUAAAUGUUAUUCUUAUGAAUAAGUCAAAGCAGAAAGUGGAGUUGCAAAACAAGACAAAUACUAAAGUUAUUUUUGAGUGUGUUCCCAAUAUUUUGUGUAUGUUUCACUAAUUAGCUUAAUUUUUUCACUUCACCUCCACUUUUUUGAAAGAGUAGUGGGUUUUUUUAAUAAUUGCUUGAAGUCCUGAAAUUCAUUCCUACAAUCAGCUGAUAAGCUAGUUUGGACUUAUCUAAUUUUAUUGUUUCAUUUUUUGCAAUACUUUAUGAGGUAUCUUGAAAGUGAUUUGGGCUCAACUACAUAUUAAUAAUUCCUUCCUAGGCAUUCUUUUAGUUUGCAUAUUGCAGCUUUCUAUCUAUUUCCCUUAGCCUUUGGGAGACUUUGAAGCUUAAUUUCAUAUUGCAGAAGAUAACCUCAUCUUUGUUCUUUUAAAACUGUUGAUGAAAAACCAUAAUAGACUUCAAUUUAUUAAACUUAGCAAAUUUUUUAUAUUUAAAGUGGAUACAUUGGCCAAUAGCUGCUGAGUAAAAUAGUGAAUGCAAUUCAAAGUGUAUGUGACUAAGUCAAGAAUGUUUAUAUGGUAGCUGUUGGUUCAGACCUUGAGUCCAUUGCUGACCUGCAGUGUCUUUGUGGAAGGAGCGGAGCAGUUCUACAGUAAGGGAUAUGGAUGAGAAGUUAAUCAAGGCUUCCCUUUGGUCCCUUUCUGCUCCUGGCAGAAACUGGGAGUUAAAAGACUCCUUCUUAAGAAAACACCUUUCUAGAGGUCUGGAGAAUCACACUGGCUUUGUAAAUAUCUUCUUCCUUUGCACAGGAUCAUCUACAGCCCAAAGCUUUCUUAUUAAGUACAGAAUGUCUGAUACGUUUGCUUAUAUGGUAACUCAUAACUGAAAAUUCUGUCAUAGUGUGAAUUUAGAAAGACCUUGUGUUUUAAGACCUGGUUACUAUUAAAAUUUUCUAUUUUAUCAAAAUACUGACAGAAAAUACAGAAAAAAUAAUGCUCUGGCCUUUACUUAGGUGCUCUUGAAAAUGCACGGAAAGAAGCUGAACCCUUUUUCAAAUCAAUUCAUUCCUUACCGUGCAAAGUAUUUGUAGCGAUUCCUUCCAUCAACUUCAGGAUCUUCAUAUACAACCUGAGGCAUCUGAAGAGAAGACUGACCUCUGAAAGCCAAAAUACAGGAUAUCAUUUAGGAAGUACAUUCUGAGCAGUUAUCUUUAUUUCCUAUGCCUUUUUUUUUUCUCUCUCUCCCCUCUGGUUGCACUAUCCAACAUGCACACUACAAACUCCCCCCAAAUCUCACACUUAUACAAGCAAUUAUAUUUUUGUUUUUUCACAUUUACCUAUGCAGCAAAACAGUUUGACACUUUAUGUUUAUUUCCCAUUACAUGUGGUCAAGAAAUGGUCUUUGCGGUGUUUAUUAAAACUUUCUUAUGAGCUUGUUACAAAAAGCAUUAACCACUUGUACAUGCUUGACUUUGUAAAGGAAACCACUUUUAUUGGAAAUGGGGGGAGCAAGCUUAUUUUAAGAGUGAAACAGUUCCCAAAUAUGUGUAAAGACACAGAAUGAGCAAAGGAGAAGAUAUUUUCAACCUCUGAAAAGCAGGUAAAGAUAUUUUGAGCAAAUGUUUAAACAUAUAGAAUCAGCAAUUUCAAUUUGAGUUCUCCAGUAAAGGAGAAAAAUUAGGACAAUCACGGGAAUGUUUCAAAAUCUAUACUGGAACAACCAUAUCUUUUGCAAGAACACUUCUCUUUUUUUUUUCCCCAUUUUGAAUUUUAAUUAGGCAGACUGUUUACAUUUUUCACUCCAGCAUCUUGAAGAGUCUUCUUUAAGGCUUUGGAAGAUCAUGUUGAAAACCUCAUUAAGGCAGUCAGUGAGAUAAUGGGUAAAACUGAGAAAUUUGGAAGUUAUUAAUCAGUAUUGCUAUUUGAUUUCACAAUUGCUUUUUAGAUGACUUACUCAUCUAAACCUGCACAUUUGUUAAAGGCAAAAAGUAGAAGUAAUUUUCAGAGAAGUUGUGGAUGCCCCAUCUCUGGAAGUGUUAGAGACCAGGUUGGAUGGAACUCUGAGUGAAAGGUAUCCGUGCCCAUGGCAAGGGGAUCGGAACUACAUGAUCUUUAAGGUCCCUUCCCUUCCACUCCAGGCCAUUCUAUGAUGAUUUUAUUUCUUUGAGUUACGUAUAAGGCAAGUCCUGAGAGCCAGGUUUUCUGUAAGACCAUUUUUGGCAACUUGUGCGAAUUCUGACCUCAAGAUGUAUGGGCUUGUGGGUACUGGGGCUGGUUGCUGAUGCUUGAUUUUAAUUACAAAGGUAUAUUUACAGAGAUACAAUUAACAAUACUUAACAUCGCUCGACCACUGAGAUCAAAACAGAGGAUUACAUGCUGAGACCAGUUGUCUUCCAAGCCCUCAUCUAAUUCCUGCAAACUGUGCUGUGGAAUCUGAGGAGGCACAGAAUGGCUAUCUGCCACAGGAAAGCUUUGAGCGAGACGCUUCAUUAACCUCCCGUGACACACAAUUUACUGCCAAGAUAGCACAGGGAUGAAGGAAUGUGCAACAUCCACCCUGUAAGAAACAGAUGGGUAACCAUACUCCACAACAGCUGCAAUCUCUUAAUUUCAAGGGAAAUGGAGCAGCCUAGGACUGAGAUGGAGUUUCUACCCAUGUGUAUGCAGAAAAAGACAAGGUCAACAUGUGAGCUGACUUUAGCCAGCACCUACCAGUCUAUCACCAAAUUGAGCAUGGACAUUUGACUUUGGAGGGUCCUUCUCACUUCACAGUGUGUAUAGAGGGUCUGAAAGACAAGUGAACAAGCAGAACUACUUACAUAUUUGAGGAAUCAGCACAAAUCAUCAGGCUCCACUUCCCUCUUUAAAAGUCUGUCUAUAAGACAGUAUAAAACAAACUAAAAAGAAAGAACUGAAAUAUAUGUCUCUGUAUCAAACAGAUGUCACCAUCAUGCAAAUGAGCCUCAGAGCUGAAAUCCUGUUCUGUGGAAGAUACAGGUGAAAAAUCUAGUAGAAAAAUCUGCUUUCUUUGGAGGCGCCAUCAACUUCAACAGAAAAUGCGACGACAUGAAACAUUAAAAGGAAGGCAUAGUGCAACAGUAA
Non-coding RNA from Taeniopygia guttata (zebra finch), 4465 nucleotides. The record is from RefSeq and is a predicted model, not a curated record. Lineage: Eukaryota; Metazoa; Chordata; Aves; Passeriformes; Estrildidae.